This 1720-nucleotide ribosomal RNA is filed under the name Acinetobacter baumannii. RNAcentral's name for it is "partial 23S ribosomal RNA". It matches the Rfam family "Bacterial large subunit ribosomal RNA", at positions 1227 to 2925 of the family's 2925-position model. The record is from RNAcentral. Lineage: Bacteria; Pseudomonadati; Pseudomonadota; Gammaproteobacteria; Moraxellales; Moraxellaceae.
GGUAGGGGAGCGUUCUGUAAGCCGAUGAAGGUGUGUUGAGAAGCAUGCUGGAGGUAUCAGAAGUGCGAAUGCUGACGUGAGUAACGACAAAACGGGUGAAAAACCCGUUCGCCGAAAGACCAAGGGUUCCAGUCCAACGUUAAUCGGGGCUGGGUGAGUCGACCCCUAAGGCGAGGCCGAAAGGCGUAGUCGAUGGGAAAAUGGUUAAUAUUCCAUUACUUCUGUGUAAUGCGAUGAGAGGACGGAGAAGGCUAAAUCAGCCUGGCGUUGGUUGUCCAGGUGAAAGGAUGUAGGCAUGUAUCUUAGGCAAAUCCGGGGUACUCUAUGCUGAGAUCUGAUAGCAAGCUGUACUUGUAUAGCGAAGUGGUUGAUGCCAUGCUUCCAGGAAAAGUCUCUAAGCUUCAGUUACACAGGAAUCGUACCCGAAACCGACACAGGUGGUCAGGUCGAGUAGACCAAGGCGCUUGAGAGAACUCUGCUGAAGGAACUAGGCAAAAUGGUACCGUAACUUCGGGAGAAGGUACGCUGUUGUUGGUGAUGGAACUCGCUUCCUGAGCUGACGACAGCCGCAGAAACCAGGCCGCUGCAACUGUUUAUUAAAAACAUAGCACUCUGCAAACACGAAAGUGGACGUAUAGGGUGUGAUGCCUGCCCGGUGCUGGAAGGUUAAUUGAUGGGGUUAGCGUAAGCGAAGCUCUUGAUCGAAGCCCCAGUAAACGGCGGCCGUAACUAUAACGGUCCUAAGGUAGCGAAAUUCCUUGUCGGGUAAGUUCCGACCUGCACGAAUGGCAUAAUGAUGGCGGCGCUGUCUCCAGCAGAGGCUCAGUGAAAUCGAAAUCGCUGUGAAGAUGCAGUGUACCCGCGGCUAGACGGAAAGACCCCGUGAACCUUUACUGCAGCUUGACACUGAACUUUGACCUUACUUGUGUAGGAUAGGUGGGAGGCUUUGAAGCUGGAACGCUAGUUCCAGUGGAGCCGUCCUUGAAAUACCACCCUGGUAAUGUUGAGGUUCUAACUCUGUCCCGUGAUCCGGGACGAGGACCGUGUCUGGUGGGUAGUUUGACUGGGGCGGUCUCCUCCUAAAGAGUAACGGAGGAGUACGAAGGUGCGCUCAGCGUGGUCGGAAAUCACGCGUAGAGUAUAAAGGCAAAAGCGCGCUUAACUGCGAGACCCACAAGUCGAGCAGGUACGAAAGUAGGUCUUAGUGAUCCGGUGGUUCUGUAUGGAAGGGCCAUCGCUCAACGGAUAAAAGGUACUCUGGGGAUAACAGGCUGAUACCGCCCAAGAGUUCAUAUCGACGGCGGUGUUUGGCACCUCGAUGUCGGCUCAUCUCAUCCUGGGGCUGAAGCAGGUCCCAAGGGUAUGGCUGUUCGCCAUUUAAAGAGGUACGCGAGCUGGGUUUAGAACGUCGUGAGACAGUUCGGUCCCUAUCUACCGUGGGCGCUGGAAAUUUGAGAGGAUCUGCUCCUAGUACGAGAGGACCAGAGUGGACGAACCUCUGGUGUACCGGUUGUGACGCCAGUCGCAUCGCCGGGUAGCUAUGUUCGGAAGGGAUAACCGCUGAAAGCAUCUAAGCGGGAAGCCUACCUCAAGAUAAGAUUUCCCUAGGACUUUAUGUCCUCUAAAGAGCCGUUCGAGACUAGGACGUUGAUAGGUUGGAUGUGGAAGCAUAGUGAUAUGUGAAGCUGACCAAUACUAAUUGCUCGUGAGGCUUGACUAU